Molecule: microRNA precursor, 100 nt
Filed under: Marmota monax (woodchuck)
Lineage: Eukaryota; Metazoa; Chordata; Mammalia; Rodentia; Sciuridae
Source: RNAcentral
AGUGGAAUAGCUGGGUCAUAUCGGUUCUACUCAUAGUUUUUAAGGAAUCUCCACAUUGCUUUCCAGAGUUGCUGUAAUAAUUUGCAGUCCCACAAAUAAU